CCCGCACAAGCGGUGGAGUAUGUGGUUUAAUUCGAUGCAACGCGAAGAACCUUACCUGGUCUUGACAUCCCGGAGACCCUUAGGAAACUAGGGGGUGCUUCCAUCUGGAAGAAUCUGGAGACAGGUGCUGCAUGGCUGUCGUCAGCUCGUGUCGUGAGAUGUUGGGUUAAGUCCCGCAACGAGCGCAACCCUUGCCUUUAGUUGCCAGCAGUUCGGCUGGGCACUCUAAAGGGACUGCCGGUGUUAAACCGGAGGAAGGUGGGGAUGACGUCAAGUCCUCAUGGCCUUUAUGACCAGGGCUACACACGUACUACAAUGGCCGAUACAAAGGGCAGCGACACUGCGAGGUGAAGCCAAUCCCGUAAAAUCGGUCUCAGUCCGGAUUGGAGUCUGCAACUCGACUCCAUGAAGUUGGAAUCGCUAGUAAUCGUGAAUCAGAAUGUCACGGUGAAUACGUUCCCGGGCCUU
This 468-nucleotide ribosomal RNA is filed under the name uncultured Desulfobulbus sp. Its description in RNAcentral is "bacterial SSU rRNA". It matches the Rfam family "Bacterial small subunit ribosomal RNA", at positions 920 to 1382 of the family's 1533-position model. Lineage: Bacteria; Pseudomonadati; Thermodesulfobacteriota; Desulfobulbia; Desulfobulbales; Desulfobulbaceae. The record is from RNAcentral.